ACACUGAUGGUGAAACGGUAUCAUGCUUGCCUUCCACCUGUUCGGUAGCAAGCGGCGCGGGUUCGACUCCCGCUCAGUGUA
Trametes coccinea BRFM310 is the source of this 81-nucleotide non-coding RNA. Lineage: Eukaryota; Fungi; Basidiomycota; Agaricomycetes; Polyporales; Polyporaceae. The record is from the annotation of a GenBank genome assembly.